ACCAGGGGAGGGAUCUCUCCCUCGGCCACUGGCAAGUGUGCGGGCUGCAAGUUUGCUCUGGGCAUAAACUUUUUACUUGUUUCAUAGUGAGACAGUGAGAGGAAAUGCAACAGCCCCGCCGUUCCAGAGUAAUGAGAUACCAGGUCUCUCAGACGACAAGCGUCGUUACGGCGCGGGUGGAGCGGCCAUUUCCUCAGGGAGCUGACGCUUCCGGAGCGGCGGUCGCCGCGACAGCGCACGAGCCAGGGCUCACACCGCACGCCUGCUUCUGUUCCCUUGAACUUCCUGCAUGCACGUCUGAUCGAACACUCGCAUUCCUGCCCCGUGGACGGUGAGGCAAGGUCAGGGCCUGGCGCCGGAGCCCCCGCCCGGAUGACAGCAGCGAACCCAGCACCCUGCUGCUGGGUGCUCACCUGUGUUCCUCGGGCAGCAAGCCUGGUGCCGGUGAGAGCGGGGGGGCCCUUCCGCGCAGGUGAGGGUGUUCCUGCCCCCUCUGCUCCACCGGCUCCCACCAGCCCCGUAGAAGGGCUCACCCUUGGCAUUUUCCGGGGCUCUGAGAAUAGGAUCUGAUUUCUGGACAGGACCCAAAGCAAAGGCCAUGCCCUGUUCAGGGCACCCCGGCCCCCAUCACUCACACAGCCAAGGGGAUGGAGAUGGUCUGGUCAAGAUCGCCCUCGGACCCCAAGGGGGACACUGACGCGGACAGUUAACGGGGAGCUGCGGGCUGGGUCCAGGCAUUCUGUCCCUUUCAACACGAACAUAUGUAUUUAUAGUGUAAUAUAUGCAAACAAAAUUUAAGUUCAUAUGCGUGUGGGUUUCAUAUUUAUACCUUUUUCUGUUGCUGAAAUGGAAAACCGCUGCUAAAUAUAUACACAUACAUAUAGAAGUCAUACGUAUAUGAUUUAUGUUGAGUUCAGCGUACUUAAUGUUUUAUCUCUUUAGUAGACGUGAAAUAAC
Long non-coding RNA from Hyaena hyaena (striped hyena), 957 nucleotides. RefSeq lists it as uncharacterized. The record is from RefSeq and is a predicted model, not a curated record. The transcript is spliced from 3 exons. Lineage: Eukaryota; Metazoa; Chordata; Mammalia; Carnivora; Hyaenidae.